CUCAGAUUGAACGCUGGCGGCAGGCCUAACACAUGCAAGUCGAGCGGUAGCACAGAGAGCUUGCUCUCGGGUGACGAGCGGCGGACGGGUGAGUAAUGUCUGGGAAACUGCCUGAUGGAGGGGGAUAACUACUGGAAACGGUAGCUAAUACCGCAUAAUGUCGCAAGACCAAAGUGGGGGACCUUCGGGCCUCAUGCCAUCAGAUGUGCCCAGAUGGGAUUAGCUAGUAGGUGGGGUAACGGCUCACCUAGGCGACGAUCCCUAGCUGGUCUGAGAGGAUGACCAGCCACACUGGAACUGAGACACGGUCCAGACUCCUACGGGAGGCAGCAGUGGGGAAUAUUGCACAAUGGGCGCAAGCCUGAUGCAGCCAUGCCGCGUGUGUGAAGAAGGCCUUCGGGUUGUAAAGCACUUUCAGCGGGGAGGAAGGCGAUAAGGUUAAUAACCUUGUCGAUUGACGUUACCCGCAGAAGAAGCACCGGCUAACUCCGUGCCAGCAGCCGCGGUAAUACGGAGGGUGCAAGCGUUAAUCGGAAUUACUGGGCGUAAAGCGCACGCAGGCGGUCUGUCAAGUCGGAUGUGAAAUCCCCGGGCUCAACCUGGGAACUGCAUUCGAAACUGGCAGGCUAGAGUCUUGUAGAGGGGGGUAGAAUUCCAGGUGUAGCGGUGAAAUGCGUAGAGAUCUGGAGGAAUACCGGUGGCGAAGGCGGCCCCCUGGACAAAGACUGACGCU
RNAcentral lists this ribosomal RNA (733 nucleotides) under Klebsiella sp. RNAcentral describes it as "bacterial SSU rRNA". It matches the Rfam family "Bacterial small subunit ribosomal RNA", at positions 23 to 747 of the family's 1533-position model. The record is from RNAcentral. Lineage: Bacteria; Pseudomonadati; Pseudomonadota; Gammaproteobacteria; Enterobacterales; Enterobacteriaceae.